GACGAACGCUGGCGGCGUGCUUAACACAUGCAAGUCGAACGGAAAGGCCCUGCUUGCGGGGUGCUCGAGAGGCGAACGGGUGAGUAACACGUGGGUGUUCUGCCCCUUACUUUGGGAUAAGCCUGGGAAACUGGGUCUAAUACUGGAUAGGACCAUGCUGUCGGCGGUGUGGUGGUAGGAUUAGUUUCGGUAAGGGAUGAGCUCGCGGCCUAUCAGCUUGUUGGUGGGGUAAUGGCCUACCAAGGCGUCGACGGGUGGCCGGCCUGAGAGGGUGGACGGCCACACUGUGACUGAGAGACAGCGCAGACUCCUACGGGGGGGAGCAGUGGGGAAUAUUGCACAAUGGGCGCGAGCGUGAGGCAGCGACGCCGCGUGGGGGAUGACGGCCUUCGGGUUGUAAACUCCGUUCAGCCAUGACAAAGCCUUCGGGUGACGGUAGUGGUAGAAGAAGCACCGGCUAACUACGUG
Molecule: ribosomal RNA, 468 nt
Filed under: uncultured bacterium
Lineage: Bacteria
Description: partial 16S ribosomal RNA
Rfam family: Bacterial small subunit ribosomal RNA
Source: RNAcentral